RNAcentral lists this non-coding RNA (49 nucleotides) under unclassified sequences. RNAcentral's name for it is "DUF3800-VI RNA". It matches the Rfam family "DUF3800-VI RNA". From Rfam's summary of the family: Actinobacteria, Planctomycetes, Proteobacteria, Spirochaetes. Nearby to DUF3800 The record is from RNAcentral.
CAGUUGGGAGAGCCGCAGAGCGGUUCGCCGGACAAUGUCCGCCUGGCUG